RNAcentral lists this long non-coding RNA (1210 nucleotides) under Homo sapiens (human). RNAcentral describes it as "long non-coding RNA NONHSAT155402.1". Lineage: Eukaryota; Metazoa; Chordata; Mammalia; Primates; Hominidae. The record is from RNAcentral.
UCCUUUCCAUUUGAAGGUGAUUCCAUUCGAGACCAUUCGAUGAUUGCAUUCAAUUCAUUCGAUGACGAUUCCAUUCAAUUCCGUUCAAUGAUUCUAUUAGAUUCCAUUUAAUGAUGAUUCCAUUCGAUUCCAUUUUGAUGAUGAUUCCAUACGAUUCCAUUAGAUGAUGACUCCUUUCAUUUCCACUCGAUGAUGAUUCCAUUCGUUUCCAUUCGACGAUGAUUCCAUUUGAUUCCGUUCAAUGAUUAUUCCAUUCGAGUCCAUUCGAUGAUUCCAUUCGAUUCUAUUCGAUGAUGAUUGCAUUCGGGUCCAUGGAUUAUUCCAUUCCAUUCCAUUAGAUGAUUCCAUUCGUGGCCAUUUGAUGAUUCUCUUCGAUUCCAUUCGAUAAUUCCGUUUGACUCCGUUUGAUGUUGAUUCCAUUCGAGUCCAUUCAAUGAUAAUUCCAUUCGAUUCUAUGCGAUGAUUUCAUUCCUUUCCAUUUGAUGAUGAUUCCAUUCGAGACCAUUCGAUGAUUGCAUUCAAUUCAUUCGAUGACGAUUCCAUUCAAUUCCAUUUCAAUGAUUCCAUUCGAUUCCAUUUGAUGAUGAUUCCAUUCGAUUCCAUUUGAUGAAGAUACCAUGCGAUUCCAUUAGAUGAUGACUCCUUUCAUUUCCAUUCAAUGAGGAUUCCAUUCGGUUCCAUUUGAUGAUGAUUCCUUUGAAUUCCAUUGGAUGACAAUUCCAUUCAAUACCAAUUGAUUAUGGUUAUUUUUGAUUCCGUUUGAUGAUGAUUAUAUUCGAUUCCAUUUGAUCAUGGUUCCAUUCGAUUCCACUCAAUGAUUCCAUUCGAUUCCAUUCAAUGAUUAUUCCAUUCGAGUUCAUUGACUAUUCCAUUCCAUUCCAUUCGACGAUUCCAAUCGAGUCCUUUCGAUGAUUCUAUUUGAUUGCAUUCGAUAAUUCCAUUCGAUUGCAUUCGAUAAUUCCAUUCGAUUCCAUUUGAGGAUAAUUCCAUUUGAGUCCAUUCGAUGAUUGUUCCAUUCGAUUCUAUUCGGUGAUUCCAUUCGAUUCCAUUUGAUAAGGAUUCCUUUCGAGACCAUUCGAUGAUUCCAUUCAAUUCCAUUCAAUAAUGAUUUCAUUCGAGUCCAUUCAGAUGAUUCCAUUCAAGUCCAUUCGAUGAUUCCAUCUGAUUCCAUUCAAUGAAUCCAUUCGAUUCCAUUCUAUGAUGAUUCCAU